UACCAGACUCCUACGGGAGGCAGCAGUGGGGAAUAUUGCACAAUGGGGGAAACCCUGAUGCAGCAACGCCGCGUGAGUGAAGAAGUAUUUCGGUAUGUAAAGCUCUAUCAGCAGGGAAGAAAAUGACAGUACCUGACUAAGAAGCCCCGGCUAACUACGUGCCAGCAGCCGCGGUAAUACGUAGGGGGCAAGCGUUAUCCGGAUUUACUGGGUGUAAAGGGAGCGUAGACGGUGAAGCAAGUCUGAAGUGAAAGGCGGGGGCUCAACCCCCGGACUGCUUUGGAAACUGUUUGACUGGAGUGCAGGAGAGGUAAGUGGAAUUCCUAGUGUAGCGGUGAAAUGCGUAGAUAUUAGGAGGAACACCAGUGGCGAAGGCGGCUUACUGGACUGUAACUGACGUUGAGGCUCGAAAGCGUGGGGAGCAAACAGGAUUAGAUACCCCGGUAC
This 447-nucleotide ribosomal RNA is filed under the name uncultured bacterium. RNAcentral describes it as "partial 16S ribosomal RNA". It matches the Rfam family "Bacterial small subunit ribosomal RNA", at positions 329 to 793 of the family's 1533-position model. The record is from RNAcentral.